CAGGGACCAGUCCCAAGUGGAUCCGCGCCGAGGAGCACGGGAAAACGAGUCCCGCGGUGACGCCUCUUUGGAGGCUCUGGGUUGUGAGAACUACAACUCCCACAAGGCUGCGCGCGGCGGGCUCAGCGCUGGGAGGACUGCCUCAAGCCUGGGUUCUAAAUCUUGACAACAGAACAUAAUGGAACCAGCUGUGUCUGAAGGCAAAGGUCAAGUUGAGAGGAGAGACCUGUGUGAGAAGACUCUGAAUAUAGGCCAUCUAACCAGUUCCUAAAUCCUUCUGAUUUUUAGUCCUGGAUCAAACUGGGCCAAAUCUGAAGACAACAUACUUACGGAGUAUGACUUCUGACCUGGAUCUAAGCUUGUUCAGCAAGCUGCAAGGUUAUGAAUACCCUACUAUGGGGGAAGGGUGAUUUUGGAACAGGCUCAUUGUCACAGUUUUCCCCCUGGCCUCACCCCUGCCUGGUUGGACUCUCUUCAAAGUCUUAUUGUGCAUCCUGAUGUGAGUACAAACUGAAAGCUGUUUUUCUAUAGGCCCCGGGAGUGCCAGACAACACUGCUUUGGAAACUAUAAUCCCCGUAGUUAGAGAUAUCUGUUCUCCACAUCGUGGCAAAACAUGGUACAACUUUUGUGCGGAAGGACCCUGAUAAUUUGAACAGCUUCGGCAGCUUCAGUACAUCAGGGUAAGCUUUAAGAUGACGUAACGUUGGCAUCUGAGAACCAGUACCUUCGGCCACAAUGGACAGGCCACCCUAGCCCACACCCUCCACUCUGGCAGCCUCAACACAAGUUUGUCAAGCAUCAGGAGCAGCACCUUUGACCUAUUUAAGCAAGAGCAGCGGGACACACACAUUGGCCGGGACACACAUGUGUGGUUGGGGUGACUGCGCUGGGGAUAUCUUAGCAGUGGAUCUCCGCAGGAAGCCAGAGCAGGUUAGGUUGGAAAAUGACAGAUUCUGUGUGGUGGCUGAGAGCACUGUUUGUCAGCACAUAUACGACAACUCUUGGGGAGUCCUAUAAAUAUUGAGUACGUGAUACAUGGUGGUGCUGAUACUGCUGGUGAGGAAACCAAGGCAUAGAGGCUAAACAGCUUGCCCAAGCUUCACAGUUAACCUGGCCUAUGUCCCAAGGCACGUGGUGUACCAUGGUUUAUGGACCAAACCUGAGAUCGGGAGAUCUUCUGAUCAGGCGCUAAACCCAGGAGACUGUUUGAAAUUCCAAAUCCUAAGAGUGAUCGUAGCUCAAAGGGAAGCAGAACACAGCCAAAAAAUGUCAACUCAGAAAGGCACCUCUGUUAUCAGCUGCAGCAAAUCGCUCGCUUUAGGGAUGAUGAGGCUGGGACCUUGUGAAGUGGACCCGCAUACCUAGCGCGGCUGAAGCUAUACUUCCUUUCCUGAAACAUCAUCCCACUUCUUUCCAUCAGCUUUUGUUUCCUGUUACAUGUGGCACCGCUGUUUUCCUCUUCUCCCAGAGUACACUUGCCCAGGAAGUACUUGCACCUUUUUGGUCCAGACAUUUUCAGAGAUUGAGUCAGAGGUGGAAACAGGGGAAGCAGGCUCCCUGAGAAAUCAGAUCCCAUUACGUCUAGAAAGGGCAGAGGGAAUAAUAAUAACAUUAAAACAACAUGUAACAGCUCUACAACAAUUAUCACAACAGCCAGUCCAUGUAGCACUAUGUUUCCAACACUGUCCUUCCUACUUUAAAUAUUAAUUUAUGCAAAUGAUGUGUGUAUAUCAUCUGAUCCAGACAACGACCCAGUGAAGGAGCCACUGUUAUUAUCCCCUCCUUACAGAGGAGGAAACCGAGGCACAUAGAAGUUAGGAAACUUCCCAGGAUUAUAAAACUAGCGAGUGGCAGAGCCAGGAUCGUGAGCCCAGAAGUCCAGCUCUGGAGUCCAGCCUCUUGCCCACUAGCCCCCCGUGGCCCCUCACAGAGGCAGGAGUACAGACAUGCUACAGUGGUAUUGAUGACAUGGCAGAAGCAGAAUUCAUCCAGCCCUUGCCUUUGUCACCCACGUGCCCGAUGAGCGAGCAGGGCAAUCCCGGCCCCUCUUCUCAGUUUACCCUGCCUGGAUCUGUGGCUCCUGCCCAGAGCUUCCGUAACUAUUUGUUGGCCCCCUUUCUCGGUUCAUUGUUCCAUGUUUGUUUUUUCUAACAUUUCAUGAGAAGAUCUUAAACCUAUGCAAAAGUAGUCCAAAUAAUAAAAAUAAAUCCCCAUUACCCAGCUCCUACCCACAAGUGUUGUUCCCUGGCCUUUAAAAAAUACAUCAUUUAUUUCAUUUUUUGCCCUUUUUUAAAUUUUUACUUGUUUUGAGACAGAGAGACAGAAUGUGAGUGGGGGAUGGGCA
Long non-coding RNA from Prionailurus viverrinus (fishing cat), 2345 nucleotides. RefSeq lists it as uncharacterized. Lineage: Eukaryota; Metazoa; Chordata; Mammalia; Carnivora; Felidae. The record is from RefSeq and is a predicted model, not a curated record. The transcript is spliced from 4 exons.